GCAGAGCAUCCUACGGGAGGCAGCAGUGGGGAAUAUUGGCACAAUGGGCGCAAGCCUGAUGCAGCCAUGCCGCGUGUAUGAAGAAGGCCUUCGGGUUGUAAAGUACUUUCAGCAGUGAGGAAGGUGGAUAUGUUAAUAGCAUAUUCAUUUGACGUUAGCUGCAGAAGAAGCACCGGCUAACUCCGUGCCAGCAGCCGCGGUAAUACGGAGGGUGCGAGCGUUAAUCGGAAUUACUGGGCGUAAAGCGCAUGCAGGUGGUUGUUAAGUCAGAUGUGAAAGCCCCGGGGCUCAACCUCGGAAUUGCAUUUGAAACUGGCAAACUAGAGUACUGUAGAGGGGGUAGAAUUUCAGGUGUAGCGGUGAAAUGCGUAGAGAUCUGAAGGAAUACCGGUGGCGAAGGCGGCCCCCUGGACAGAUACUGACACUCAGAUGCGAAAGCGUGGGGAGCAAACAGGAUUAGAUACCCUGGUAG
This 472-nucleotide ribosomal RNA is filed under the name uncultured bacterium. Its description in RNAcentral is "bacterial SSU rRNA". It matches the Rfam family "Bacterial small subunit ribosomal RNA", at positions 329 to 793 of the family's 1533-position model. The record is from RNAcentral.